AACGGGAGUUUUUAACUCUAGUGGCGGACGGGUGAGUAACACGUGAGAAUCUACCCUUAGGAGGGGGACAACAGUUGGAAACGACUGCUAAUACCCCAUAUACUUUCGAGUGAAAUAGUUUUUCUGCCUAAGGAAGAGCUCGCGGCUGAUUAGCUAGUUGGUAGGGUAAAGGCCUACCAAGGCGACGAUCAGUAGCUGGUCUGAGAGGACGAUCAGCCACACUGGAACUGAGACACGGUCCAGACUCC
This 248-nucleotide ribosomal RNA is filed under the name uncultured bacterium. Its description in RNAcentral is "partial 16S ribosomal RNA". It matches the Rfam family "Bacterial small subunit ribosomal RNA", at positions 65 to 339 of the family's 1533-position model. The record is from RNAcentral.